This 404-nucleotide unclassified non-coding RNA is filed under the name Hevea brasiliensis (rubber tree). The record is from RNAcentral. Lineage: Eukaryota; Viridiplantae; Streptophyta; Magnoliopsida; Malpighiales; Euphorbiaceae.
UUCCUUCCCGUGUAUCGGUAUGCAGCCAGGUAUUUUCAAGGGUUCUUGUAGUUCUCUAUACUCGCAAGGAACCAUCUCAUCUAGCUUUGGCAACCAAAAAAACAAAGACAAAGCCAUUGCUGUAGAAGGAAAGAAAAUGUAGGGAGAGAUGUUGAAUUCUCGAGCAACAUCGAACGCAUCGGUUCCAAAGAGAUCAACCACCAGGGCCGCUAGUCGACUACUUUCAACAAGAGACUUCAAAACUUGGCAAAGAGAAGGGAGAGAGCGUGCCACCGUAAGGGAAAUUAUCGUUUCUAUCUUUGUAUCUCCAGGGAGAUCACUCAUGUCAACCGGAGAAAGAAAUGUGGAGCUUAUGGUGGUAGGAAGCGAUUCAAGAACUGAUUUUUGGGCCUUAGAAGGAGGAC